AUUGAACGCUGGCGGCAGGCCUAACACAUGCAAGUCGAACGGUAGCACAGAGAGCUUGCUCUUGGGUGACGAGUGGCGGACGGGUGAGUAAUGUCUGGGAAACUGCCCGAUGGAGGGGGAUAACUACUGGAAACGGUAGCUAAUGCCGCAUAACGUCUUCGGACCAAAGUGGGGGACCUUCGGGCCUCACACCAUCGGAUGUGCCCAGAUGGGAUUAGCUAGUAGGUGGGGUAAUGGCUCACCUAGGCGACGAUCCCUAGCUGGUCUGAGAGGAUGACCAGCCACACUGGAACUGAGACACGGUCCAGACUCCUACGGGAGGCAGCAGUGGGGAAUAUUGCACAAUGGGCGCAAGCCUGAUGCAGCCAUGCCGCGUGUAUGAAGAAGGCCUUCGGGUUGUAAAGUACUUUCAGCGGGGAGGAAGGCGAUGGAGUUAAUAGCUUCAUCGAUUGACGUUACCCGCAGAAGAAGCACCGGCUAACUCCGUGCCAGCAGCCGCCGUAA
RNAcentral lists this ribosomal RNA (504 nucleotides) under uncultured bacterium. RNAcentral's name for it is "partial 16S ribosomal RNA". It matches the Rfam family "Bacterial small subunit ribosomal RNA", at positions 30 to 523 of the family's 1533-position model. The record is from RNAcentral.